RNAcentral lists this ribosomal RNA (488 nucleotides) under uncultured bacterium. Its description in RNAcentral is "partial 16S ribosomal RNA". It matches the Rfam family "Bacterial small subunit ribosomal RNA", at positions 899 to 1397 of the family's 1533-position model. The record is from RNAcentral.
ACUCAAAUGAAUAGACGGGGACCCGCACAACCAGUGGAGCGUGUGGUUUAAUUCGAGACAAAGCGAAAAACCUCACCAAGGUUUGACAUUGUAGCGUCCUAUGCCCGAGAAACCGGGCAAAUUCGCAAGAAGGCUACAACAGGUGCUGCAUGGCUGUCGUCAGCUCGUGCCGUGAGGUGUUCCCUUAAGUGGGGAAACGAGUGCAACCCUUGUCUAAUGUUAAAUAUUCAUUAGAGACUGCCUCAUUUUUAUGAGGAGGAAGGAAAGGCAGAUGUCAAGUCAGCAUGGCCCUUAUACCUUGGGCUACACACACCCUACAAUGGCGAAUAACAAUGGGUUGCAAGCUCGCAAGAGCAAGCUAAUCUCAGAAAUUUCGCCUCAGUUCAGAUAGAGGUCUGAAACUCGACCUCUUGAAGUUGGAAUUGGUAGUAAUCGCGGAUCAGCGGGCCGCGGUGAAUACGUUAUCGGGUCUUGCACACACCGCCCGU